UGGGGAAUAUUGCGCAAUGGGGGGAACCCUGACGCAGCCAUGCCGCGUGAAUGAAGAAGGCCCUAGGGUUGUAAAGUUCUUUCGGUAUUGAGGAAGGUUGAUGUGUUAAUAGCACAUCAAAUUGACGUUAAAUACAGAAGAAGCACCGGCUAACUCCGUGCCAGCAGCCGCGGUAAUACGGAGGGUGCGAGCGUUAAUCGGAAUAACUGGGCGUAAAGGGCACGCAGGCGGUUAUUUAAGUGAGGUGUGAAAGCCCCGGGCUUAACCUGGGAAUUGCAUUUCAGACUGGGUAACUAGAGUACUUUAGGGAGGGGUAGAAUUCCACGUGUAGCGGUGAAAUGCGUAGAGAUGUGGAGGAAUACCGAAGGCGAAGGCAGCCCCUUGGGAAUGUACUGACGCUCAUGUGCGAAAGCGUGGGGAGCAAACAGGAUUAGAUACCCUGGUAGUCCACGCUGUAAACGCUGUCGAUUUGGGGGUUGGGGUUUAACUCUGGCGCCCGUAGCUAACGUGAUAAAUCGACCGCCUGGGGAGUACGGCCGCAAGGUUA
RNAcentral lists this ribosomal RNA (547 nucleotides) under uncultured bacterium. Its description in RNAcentral is "bacterial SSU rRNA". It matches the Rfam family "Bacterial small subunit ribosomal RNA", at positions 355 to 896 of the family's 1533-position model. The record is from RNAcentral.